Molecule: long non-coding RNA, 1764 nt
Organism: Medicago truncatula (barrel medic)
Lineage: Eukaryota; Viridiplantae; Streptophyta; Magnoliopsida; Fabales; Fabaceae
Exons: 6
Source: RefSeq, a predicted model, not a curated record
UAUACUCCGUUCUGAAAGGUAGUACUAACAAACUACUCUCUGCUGCCAACUUCACCGGAAUCGCUCUCUUCGCCCUCCUCUACACGGAGAUGCAAUUCAAGGACAAAUGGAUUGCGUGUCUUUCUCUCGGCGUACAGACUUUCCGUACCAAAUCAUCCCAACAGAAGAGCAAACAAAUGAGCAGGUGAUGAUGGAAAGGGAAAUAGCACAAAAGAGGAGAAUUUUAUAUAUCUUCUAGAUUGGGUAUAAGCUUACUUAUAUGAUGGCUACCGGGAAGACAUUGAUACCAUUGAGGCAUUCUAUAAUGUGAAUUUCGGAAUCGCCAAAAAGCAUGUACUUGACUUCAGUUUACACUCAAUCGCAAUAUUUGCCUCCGUCGAAGAUGCUUGAUGUUGAUAUCACUGAUAGUGUUAUCGGGGAAGGAUGUGCGAUUAAGGUAAAUUGUUUCCGAAUCUGUUCGAAGAAUGUGAGGUUUAUACUUUUCUUGACAAAGAUGUCAAAUAUGCUUAAAUGGAUUUAAUUGUGAGAAACUUUAAUUUUCUUUUUGUUUCCUAGAAUUGCAAAAUCUUCCAUUCAGUGGUCGGGCUGCAGUCUUGCAUUACGUUCAGAAAAACGCAAAAAUUCAGCAAAUUACGUUCAUGAGCUGAAAGAAAGGAAAUACAUGAAAAACUUGAUAAAUGGUUUAUGAUACUUGAUUCCUGUGGAUUUGGUAAAGUCCCUUUAAGCGCAUUUAUAAAGAUUGCAAAUUUUUGUUGGAUAUUUCUUCAGUUGGUACCUCAUCUAACUUUUACUUACCACUUUAAGUUUAGGAUCCUUAUGAGCCUUAAUCUGUCAUACUGCAUUGGUUUCUUGGACCAUGUCAGUACUUGCUGAGGCAAUCCUUAGUUCUUUUUGGUCUUUAAAAGUUAAAACUUAUUAAACCACCUUUCACAUACAUGUACUGUUAGCUAGGUCAUUUAUGGUCAUGCUUGUGGUUGUGCUAACAUAUAUCAUGCUUGCAUAUCAAACCAUUAUAUUUACAUAUCUAAAGUUUGGUAUUUGGUGCGGAAAAAUUCAGAUUUACAUGUCUUUGACUUCUUGGCCAAUUCAAUCCUUAGAGAGGUUCUCUUUACUAUUCAGAAGGGAAAACCAGGUGCAUUUUCUCCUGGAAGACCAGAGUUCUUGAAAAAUUACAAAUCAAGCUUGGAAUUCUUGGCUUAUCUAGAAGGAUACUGUACAUCCAGAUCUGUUGUUGCUAAAUUUCGAUCCGAAGCAAUCUAUACCGAGUUCAUGAAGCAAUGUAAUUGGAAACUUAGAGAGUAUUUUUCUUUGAGGCGAUUCUUAUAUUUAAGGAUUUAGGAAAUAGCAUGGUCUUUAGAUUCUGUGCUGACAACAUCCAGUCCUGUCCCCGUUCAAAAUUUAGAUCCUAGCGAAGUAAAUUAUCAGGACUUAACGCUAAAAUCAAAUGUAACUCUCUUGGAGAGUUUGAGAUUGUGCUGGAGAGAAGAAAAUGGAUGUAUAGUAACUUGCUGGCAGGAUAUGUCUUUGUUUUCAACAACAGCUUGGAGAGCUAGGAAGUAAUUAAGACUAAUUUUCAAGCAAGAAAAAGAAUGGAAUAUUAGAAAGAAGAAAAAUAUGAUAUGAAGUGAAGAAAUGAUGGGUAGAGUUUUGAGGGUUUUAAUUUUUGUUUUUGUUUUUCUUUAUUUGAAGAAAGAGUUUACGAACAGGGUAAUGAGUAUUCAUUUCAUCAUUGUCAAUUUAAAGAUACUUUUAUUUUUCUGCUGG